This 871-nucleotide ribosomal RNA is filed under the name uncultured bacterium. Its description in RNAcentral is "bacterial SSU rRNA". It matches the Rfam family "Bacterial small subunit ribosomal RNA", at positions 8 to 885 of the family's 1533-position model. The record is from RNAcentral.
AGAGUUUGAUCCUGGCUCAGGAUGAACGCUAGCGGCAGGCUUAACACAUGCAAGUCGAGGGGUAUAGGUUUUCGGACCUAGAGACCGGCGCACGGGUGCGUAACGCGUAUGCAAUCUACCUUUUACAGAGGGAUAGCCCAGAGAAAUUUGGAUUAAUACCCCAUAGUAUUAUUGAAUGGCAUCAUUUAAUAAUUAAAGUCACAACGGUAAAAGAUGAGCAUGCGUCCCAUUAGCUAGUUGGUAAGGUAACGGCUUACCAAGGCAUCGAUGGGUAGGGGUCCUGAGAGGGAGAUCCCCCACACUGGUACUGAGACACGGACCAGACUCCUACGGGAGGCAGCAGUGAGGAAUAUUGGUCAAUGGGCGCAAGCCUGAACCAGCCAUGCCGCGUGCAGGAUGACGGUCCUAUGGAUUGUAAACUGCUUUUGUACAGGAAGAAACAGUUCUACGUGUAGAACCUUGACGGUACUGUAAGAAUAAGGAUCGGCUAACUCCGUGCCAGCAGCCGCGGUAAUACGGAGGAUCCAAGCGUUAUCCGGAAUCAUUGGGUUUAAAGGGUUCGUAGGCGGUUUAGUAAGUCAGUGGUGAAAGCCCAUCGCUCAACGGUGGAACGGCCAUUGAUACUGCUAGACUUGAAUUAUUAGGAAGUAACUAGAAUAUGUAGUGUAGCGGUGAAAUGCUUAGAGAUUACAUGGAAUACCAAUUGCGAAGGCAGGUUACUACUAAUGGAUUGACGCUGAUGGACGAAAGCGUGGGUAGCGAACAGGAUUAGAUACCCUGGUAGUCCACGCCGUAAACGAUGGAUACUAGCUGUUGGGAGCGAUCUCAGUGGCUAAGCGAAAGUGAUAAGUAUCCCACCUGGGGAGUACGU